This 498-nucleotide ribosomal RNA is filed under the name uncultured bacterium. RNAcentral's name for it is "bacterial SSU rRNA". It matches the Rfam family "Bacterial small subunit ribosomal RNA", at positions 29 to 510 of the family's 1533-position model. The record is from RNAcentral.
AACGAACGCUGGCGGCGCGCCUAAUACAUGCAAGUCGAGCGAGAAGACGUAGCAAUACGUUUGUAAAGCGGCGAACGGGUGAGGAAUACAUGGGUAACCUACCCUCGAGUGGGGAAUAACUAGCCGAAAGGUUAGCUAAUACCGCGUACGCUCCUUGGACUUCGGUUCAGGGAGGAAAGCGAUACCGUGGGUACCGCGCUCUUGGAUGGGCUCAUGUCCUAUCAGCUUGUUGGUGAGGUAACGGCUCACCAAGGCUUCGACGGGUAGCUGGUCUGAGAGGACGAUCGGCCACACUGGCACUGCGACACGGGCCAGACUCCUACGGGAGGCAGCAGUGGGGAAUAUUGGACAAUGGGCGCAAGCCUGAUCCAGCGAUGCCGCGUGUGUGAAGAAGGCCUGCGGGUUGUAAAGCACUUUCAGUAGGGAAGAAAAGCCGAGUGCUAAUAUCACUCGGUCUUGACGUUACUUACAGAAGAAGCACCGGCUAACUCCGUGCCA